GUGCCAGCAGCCGCGGUAAUACGGAAGGUCCGGGCGUUAUCCGGAUUUAUUGGGUUUAAAGGGAGCGCAGGCUGAUUGUUAAGCGUGACGUGAAAUGUAGCCGCUCAACGGCUGAACUGCGUCGCGAACUGGCAGUCUUGAGUGAGUACGACGUCAGCGGAAUUCGUGGUGUAGCGGUGAAAUGCUUAGAUAUCACGAAGAACCCCGAUUGCGAAGGCAGCUGACGAGUCCUUUACUGACGCUAAAGCUCGAAGGUGCGGGUAUCGAACAGGAUUAGAUACCCUGGUAGUCCGCACGGUAAACGAUGGAUGCCCGCUGUUGGCGAUAUAGUGUCAGCGGCCAAGCGAAAGCGUUAAGCAUCCCACCUGGGGAGUACGCCGGCAACGGUGAAACUCAAAGGAAUUGACGGGGGCCCGCACAAGCGGAGGAACAUGUGGUUUAAUUCGAUGAUACGCGAGGAACCUUACCCGGGCUUGAACUGCAGGGGAACGAUAGAGAGAUCUUGAGGUCAGCAAUGACCCCUGUGGAGGUGCUGCAUGGUUGUCGUCAGCUCGUGCCGUGAGGUGUCGGCUUAAGUGCCAUAACGAGCGCAACCCUUGUCUGUAGUUGCCAUCAGGUGAUGCUGGGCACUCUGCGGAUACUGCCACCGUAAGGUGUGAGGAAGGUGGGGAUGACGUCAAAUCAGCACGGCCCUUACGUCCGGGGCUACACACGUGUUACAAUGGGGUGUACAGAGAGUCGGUGCAUGGCAAUAUGCAUCCAAUCCUUAAAGCACUCCUCAGUUCGGAUUGGGGUCUGCAACCCGACCCCAUGAAGCUGGAUUCGCUAGUAAUCGCGCAUCAGCCAUGGCGCGGUGAAUACGUUCCCGGGCCUUGUACACACCGCCCGU
This 889-nucleotide ribosomal RNA is filed under the name uncultured bacterium. Its description in RNAcentral is "bacterial SSU rRNA". It matches the Rfam family "Bacterial small subunit ribosomal RNA", at positions 505 to 1397 of the family's 1533-position model. The record is from RNAcentral.